RNAcentral lists this ribosomal RNA (1330 nucleotides) under uncultured organism. Its description in RNAcentral is "16S ribosomal RNA". It matches the Rfam family "Bacterial small subunit ribosomal RNA", at positions 44 to 1398 of the family's 1533-position model. The record is from RNAcentral.
AUGCUUAACACAUGCAAGUCUACUUGAUCCUUCGGGUGAUGGUGGCGGACGGGUGAGUAACGCGUAAAGAACUUGCCUUGCAGUCUGGGACAACGUCUGGAAACGGACGCUAAUACCGGAUAUUAUGAUUGAAUCGCAUGAUUUGAUUAUGAAAGCUAUAUGCGCUGCGAGAGAGCUUUGCGUCCCAUUAGUUAGUUGGUGAGGUAACGGCUCACCAAGACGAUGAUGGGUAGCCGGCCUGAGAGGGUGAACGGCCACAAGGGGACUGAGACACGGCCCUUACUCCUACGGCACGCAUCAUUGGGGAAUAUUGGACAAUGGACCAAAAGUCUGAUCCAGCAAUUCUGUGUGCACGAUGAAGUUUUUCGGAAUGUAAAGUGCUUCCAGUUGGCAAGAAGAAAGUGACGGUACCAACAGAAGAAGCGACGGCUAAAUACUUGCCAGCAGCCGCGGUAAUACGUAUGUCGCAAGCGUUAUCCGGAUUUAUUGGGCGUAAAGCGCCUCUAGGCGGCUUGGUAAGUCUGAUGUGAAGAUGCGGGGCUCAACUCCGUAUUGCGUUGGAAACUGCCAAACUAGAGUACUGGAGAGGAAAGCGGAAGUACAAGUGUAGAGGUGAAAUUCUUAGAUAUUUGAACGAAUGCCGAUGGGGAAGCCAGCCUACUGGAAAGAUACUGACGCUUAAGCGCGAAAGCGUGGGUAGCAAACAGGAUUGGAUACCCUGGUAGUCCACGCCGUAAACGAUGAUUACUAGGUGUUGGGGGUCGAACCUCAGCGCCCAAGCUAACGCGAUAAGUAAUCCGCCUGGGGAGUACGUACGCAAGUAUGAAACUCAAAGGAAUUGACGGGGACCCGCACAAGCGGUGGAGCAUGUGGUUUAAUUCGACGCAACGCGAGGAACCUUACCAGCGUUUGACAUCCCAAGAAGUUAACAGAGAUGUUUUCGUGCCUCUUCGGAGGAACUUGGUGACAGGUGGUGCAUGGCUGUCGUCAGCUCGUGUCGUGAGAUGUUGGGUUCCGUCCCGCAACGAGCGCAACCCCUUUCGUAUGUUACCAUCAUUAAGUUGGGGACUCAUGCGAGACCGCCUGCGAUGAGCAGGAGGAAGGUGGGGAUGACGUCAAGUCAUCAUGCCCCUUAUACGCUGGGCUACACACGUGCUACAAUGGGUAGUACAGAGAGUCGCUAACCCGCGAGGGCAAGCUAAUCUCAUAAAACUAUUCUUAGUUCGGAUUGUACUCUGCAACUCGCGCCCCUGAAGUUGGAAUCGCUAGUAAUCGCAAAUCAGCUAAGUUGCGGUGUUUGCGUUCUCGGGUCUUGUUCUCCCCGCCCGUC